This is a long non-coding RNA of Cynoglossus semilaevis (tongue sole), 892 nucleotides long. RefSeq lists it as uncharacterized. The transcript has 3 exons. The record is from RefSeq and is a predicted model, not a curated record. Lineage: Eukaryota; Metazoa; Chordata; Actinopteri; Pleuronectiformes; Cynoglossidae.
GUUGUGGAUAUUUACAGGUAUUCAUGUCAUUAAGGCAAAUACAGUAUAAUAAACCAGGUUGCAUCUGUACCUAUGGAAAACUGUGUAUUUACUACUAAAGUAGUAAGUAGUUUACUACUACUAAAGUAGUAAAUACACCUCACAUAAUUACCAUAUACAAAAAUAAUAAUUUAUAAGAGAGAAAAUAAUGUCAGCUCAAAGCAAAAGAAUCCCCACAGGAGUGAACUUUCUGUAUGAGAAACAUUGUAGGUUUAAUAAAACGUGUUUUAAAAGAGGCAAAAAGUAAACGUUAUCAACCAUUUUUAUUUUAGUUAUCCCGCCGUGUCCUCACAUCCACCCGUCUCCACCUCCUGUGUCUCCCAUAGUAAUUAAUUAAUUCAUCUUUCCCACCUGUGACUCGUUAACUCUAACUAAGCGACACCGUCUUUCCUUUCCGCUCAGCUCAUCUCCAUUGUUUUGACAUCGUCCUGUUACUGAUUGUGUCUUAGCUUAGCUGCCUCUGUACAUCUUUCUGCUGGACUGGACUUUGUUUCUGUUCUUAAGAACAGUUUCAUUUAUCGACCAUCUGAUGAAUCAUUCAAAAAAAGUCUGGAGGCACCAUGCCAUACACGUUGAUCCUGUCACACAGCUCCAGGGCUGUGGCCAUGGUGAACCAGCCUGUGCUGAGCCAGGAGUGGGAAAUCCUCCUGAAAGACAUGCAGGAUGUACAAGAACCACUGUUGACAAGUCCACAGCUCAUCAAACUUGAACAUGUUGCUUCGAGAAACUGUGAAGAUUAUCAGUUUGGGCAGAAGCUGCUUCAACAGCUGUAGUUUGUUGUACACGUGACCUCUUCCAUCCCGUCUCAUCAAGCUGCUAGGUCCCCAGAAAAUAAACACUGUCGCCUGACUGG